UCUCAAAACACAUCUCUUCUCUAACAAUCUUCUGGCGUCUUCACCACAACCACAAUACUCGUAUAGAAACGACCCUACCUACCAUAAUGGAAAGCAAUGGAUAAAGCUGAACUACCGAAACACACAAUUAUGGUGACAAAAUCAUCAAUCAAGAGAAAACCCUUGGCCAGUCUCACUAACAUCGUUCGUAACCCUAACCACACCUUCCAAUCGAAGAAACCUCUAUCUUCUACACCCUCUGAUUCAAGUAUCGGAUCCACUCAGAACCAUCCGAUUAAACCUCCCACACUCACCGCAGGUAACAAAAUGUGAAAAGCCAAAUAGAAGCCAGCUGGACAGCACUGAAGGCUUGGAAAAGUGGCUAUAAAGUUACCUAAAAUAAAGAGAUAUUUUUAUUUAAAUAAAAUAAGGUUUAUCCCUAUGAAUAUGUGUGUACUGAAAACUUGGGAAUUUCCCCCGUGUUUAAUAUUCUAAAAGUAUGGUAUUUUACUCUGAUAAAACAUUUCCUAACUACGAUUCUAA
Molecule: long non-coding RNA, 522 nt
Organism: Helianthus annuus (common sunflower)
Lineage: Eukaryota; Viridiplantae; Streptophyta; Magnoliopsida; Asterales; Asteraceae
Exons: 2
Source: RefSeq, a predicted model, not a curated record